Pelobates cultripes (western spadefoot toad) is the source of this 237-nucleotide non-coding RNA. The record is from the annotation of a GenBank genome assembly. NCBI's taxonomy places the organism in Eukaryota, Metazoa, Chordata, Amphibia, Anura, Pelobatidae.
CCUGUCUCGUCUUUCCUCCAAGCUAUACAUGUUAAGAUCCUUUAACCUUUCCUGGUAAGUUUUAUCCUGCAAUCCAUGAACCAGUUUAGUAGCCCUUCUCUAAACUCUCUCUAAAGUAUAAAUAUCCUUCUGAAGAUACGGUCUCCAGUACUGCGUACAAUACUCCAAGUGAGGUCUCACCAGUGUUCUGUACAAUGGCAUGAGCACUUCCCUCUUUCUACUGCUAAUACCUCUCCC